RNAcentral lists this ribosomal RNA (289 nucleotides) under uncultured Mycobacterium sp. RNAcentral's name for it is "partial 16S ribosomal RNA". The record is from RNAcentral. Lineage: Bacteria; Bacillati; Actinomycetota; Actinomycetes; Mycobacteriales; Mycobacteriaceae.
CUACCCGGGUUUCUAAUCCUGUUCGCUCCCCACGCUUUCGCUCCUCAGCGUCAGUUACUGCCCAGAGACCCGCCUUCGCCACCGGUGUUCCUCCUGAUAUCUGCGCAUUCCACCGCUACACCAGGAAUUCCAGUCUCCCCUGCAGUACUCCAGUCUGCCCGUAUCGCCCGCACGCCCCCAGUUAAGCCAGGGAAUUUCACGAACAACGCGACAAACCACCUACGAGCUCUUUACGCCCAGUAAUUCCGGACAACGCUCGCACCCUACGUAUUACCGCGGCUGCUGGCAC